AUUGAAUCUUGUGGUUGAAGUUAGGUGGUAUCUCGUGCAGAAGGGGCGCAAAUGAAUUAGUGAAGAUGGGGGAUGAGCGACUGAUGUAUGGUUCGGGUGGUCAAUCGAGUGUUAAGCGACACCUGGAAGAGAGUUGCAGUCGUCAUCCUAGAAUUCAGAAAGGUCUAAUGACUGGCCUUUUUAUUUGAGAGGACUGGUUAUGAUAACUUUCACCGGCAAGGCCGUGUGUAUUGUUGGUUAUAGUAAAUUGACUUCAGUAGGAAGAUUGUAUACUUGGGAACGAGGUGAACUCCAAACAGUACUUGCAAGAGUGUGAUAGAGACUUGGAUUUGAUGACCCUAGCAUACAAGUAUGAAGAGAAUGUAUCAUCUAUUGUGGAAUAGAUGGUUGGAUAGUGCUAUUGGGGCUUGAGAUAAAGAUGGAAAUGGUGAACCUACUCUUUAAAGCAUUCGGAUGAUAUUCCGAGAAAUUGAGUAAUGGUAAAGGCGUCGUUGUUGUGGUGUGAUUAGACUAUCACCUAGUUUUGGCGAGUCGGUCGAGCUGUACCUCAAAUAAGUUGAGAGAAUUUGUGUUUACAUAUUAGAGGCCUAGGCUGAGUUGCCUAGCGGGUGAUAUCUAAUGAAAGAUGCGAUAGUAUAGGACACUUGAGUUUAGUUGUCCGUAGAGUGUGGAUUGUGGCUCAGCCAAGAGAGUGUGUUGGCAGUAGCACGUGAGCGUUGCUAGGUGUGAAGCGUGCCAUGGAUCACUCGCGGGGCUAGUAGCUCGCACUAAGUACUUAGGAGCCGAUAGUAAUGUGGAUUGCUCGAUAGGACAUGUCGUGUGUGACGACCGUUGAGGAUGUAGCUUGAGGACGAUCCGUGCCUGGAUAAUGUGUGGACCUUAGAGCCUAAGGCCAUUCGAAUAGGCGCAGUCGGCUGUGUGUGACAGUGGCCCGAUACCUAUAGGUAGGGCAGAGAUUCUGAUCGGGGCGGUAGUCCGAGCUUAGAUCAGUGAUGUGGUGUGCCACAUAUUGGAUCGUGGGAUGAGUGAUACAUCGAGAGUGUGAAUUUGAUCCAACCUCAAGAUUGUAGGGGUUUGGAAUUUGGAUUGCUCCUAGUUGGAGUAGGUAUUUGAGACUUUACCUCAUGAUGAUUGGGUCUGCGCUUGCGAGCGAGAGACGCUGUGUGAUAUAGCGAUUGAGCUAGGCGAUAGACCUAUGUCGGAUUGGUGGCUUGUAAAUCAAUUUAUGAUAAUUGGGACAAGCGUUUAACCACUUGCUCUAGAAAUGCAAGAGUCGGUGUAGUAUUGUGAAUAGGGGGAUAGUGGCCCUAGGAGUGGGGGCUCGGUCCUACUGUUUGCCUGUUUUGAAUCGCCGAGUUAUGCGCUGUUGAGGAGUUAAGAUUAGAGGCACGAACGAAAGUGUUCAUGGAGACUCGUUGCGAGAGAUUGGUAUAAUGCAAACGUGGCUGGAAAAGUAAAAGAUUUUCUUUGAGAUUAUUGUGUAGUGGAAGCCACGUGAGAUCUUGGAGAAUUAUGCCUUCAAAUCAUUAGAGUGUGGAGAUGUUAGAAUGAGCCCUUUGUCGAGGAGUGGAAAUUUGUGGGUGAUGGAACACUCACAAUUGAGUGGUGUACUGUGAUAUCGCAGGUAGCGAUGCCAGGUGAGAAAUGAAAUAGAUUCCAUCGGAGAGUAAUGGGUAUAGUAGAUGUUACCUAAUAAGUUUGUAUAUGAAUCAAGGUAGUCUACGGACUUUUUGAGUAAGCGCCAUGCAGGAAUGAUCCCCACUGUAAGAAAAAAAAAAAAAAACAGAUAGUACUAUUCUUAGAAGUAAAGUGAUGUUUAUUGGUAUGAAUUGGUUAUCAUCUAUUGAUGAUAAGAAUGAUAACACGAGCAUGUUAAGUUGAUGGUGCGGAUAGUUGUUGAUUGUAUGAAAAGAAUGCUAAUUCUAAAGCAUGUCAUUAAGUGAGAAUUAAAUUGGCAUAAUAACCAAGGCAAAUAAGUCUUUGAUAGUAAAUGAGACUAGAGUAUAGUAAGUCAUUGAAUGUUGACUUGUAUUGCCAUUGGAAGUUAGAGAACAUAUAAUAAUCAGCAGGAAGAAUAGGGCAUAUUCUGGAUGUGCUCGAUUGAUUAUUAGGAUGAUUGGCACAAGUGGUUACCAAAAAUUGUGAGAUUAUGGUGCCCAACCUAAGGAAUUAGAGUAACCCCUAUUUACUAGGGGAUGGUGAACAUAAGAAAAUUGCUCUGGGAUGUGAAGUAUACAAGAAAAUGCACAAUGAAUUUCAAAUUGAUUGAACAGAACUCCUCAUUUGUUCCAAGGGAGAACUAUAGAAUUACUAGAGAAAAUAACUUGGAAAUAGUGUCAAUUGUGCAUUUUGGAUUUGUGUGAAUGAGGAAAGUGCAGAAUAGUAUAAUUCUGUAUAUUGGUGAGUGUUGGACCCUAUCUUCAUAUGUUUAACUGGAUGAAUGAAGAUAUGUAAGUGUAUCUAAGUUUCGCGGACGAAACUUUUGUUAACGGGGGGAGAUUGUAAUAUAUGGAAAAUUUGAGUUGCGAUGCUAACUUUCUUCUGGAAGAUCAAAGUGAAGUUUGAAUUGGAUGUGUAUCAUUCCAGAGUGUUUUGGGAUGUGUGGGAAUGAUCUCUAAAUGUAAUUGAGUAUUCGGGCACAAAUCGGGCACGAAAUAAACUUGAAAGGGGAUUUUUGGAUUAUGACGCUAACUUCGACCUACGCGAUCAAAGUGAGAUAUGAAUGUUAAUUAUAGUAACUCCGAAUUAUUUUGGAAGUGCGAGGAUAGUUAAUGGCAAAUUCGGAGAUGCUUAGAUGUAAUAUGUCGGAUUUUGGUUAUGUUGCUAAGCUUGAUCAAAUGGAUCAAAAUAAUGCCAAAAUAAAAUUGGGUUGUUUCCGAGCUUAAUUGGUAGCUUCGGCAUCGUAUUUAGUAUGUUUUGGAAGUGUUGGGAUGGACUCGGAGUGAAUUAGAUGCGCAAAAGGAGCUGAAAAUCUGCUGCUGCCAGCUGCUGUUAGUGCAGGGACUGAACUGUAAAGCUGCAAGGACUGUUGGACUGUUUUGUAAACAGAAUUACUGUUUUGUAAAGGAGAUAAUUACAGCUUUGUAGUGGGGUUUAGUUGCAGUUUUUUUUUGGUCUUAUCUACAGCCAGCUCAGCCCCAAUUGCUACGUGUUGAGAAAUCUCCUCUCCUCUCAUCUUCUUUUCGUUUCUUUCUCUCUCUCUCUAAACUCUAAGGUUGGCCGGUUGAUGGUUGAAGAAAGAAGGAUUUUGGAGCAGGGAAAAGCUUGGUAGAGCUGAAUUUCAAGGUAACUUUGAUCAAAUCCUGGUUAGAGUUGAGUUAUUUACCUUCACAGGAAGUUAGUUGGAGUUUCAUGAUAAUUAAAGUGUAUAGAAAGCUUAAGAAAGCUGUAUCAUGGACAGCACAUAGGUAUUUCCUGGAUUAGAAGUGAAAUUGAAUGAGAAACCAUGCAAUUCCUGGUUUGAGGGUUAUGUAUUUACAUUCUAAAGAGAUCUAAGCCGCAGAUUUAAGUAUUAGAGCUCUUAAUACCAUGAGAAGGCUUAAGGGAAAUUUCAGGGCAGCUUGUAUGUGGAGUUAUGUUUGUGAAUUGUAUGUUAAAGAAAGAAAUCUGCUGUGAAUGAACCUUAAUUAUUGAACAAGAGUGAUGUUAAUCACUGCAUAAAGAGGUUAAAUCAUGGAUAAUUUAGCAUAUAGGGAUUUAAUUAUGCUGAAAACUGCAUAUAUGUAUAUAUGGAUAUAUAUAUAUAUAUAUAUAUAUAUAUAUAUAUAUACACAUAGAAGGAAUGGUUAGAGUAAAAUCUAAAAUAGAUUACCUCUAAACCUAGUUAUAGAUGAUUCCCUGCUGUGUAAAGAAGUUAAGUAAAGGGUUCCUAUGAGCUGAAUUAGAGAACUAACUAGAUGUAUAUGUAUAUUGAUACUAUGCAUACAAAUUGAGUUAGUUAGCCUGGAGAAGAGUUAGAUAAAGAGUUCUUGGCUGCUAGGACUUGAAACUUGGUGAGUUGGUGGGCAGAUUAGUGUGUUUGGUCUUGUUGGAGCUGCCGAAAUGGGAAGCUCAACCUGGGAAGCUUCGAACCUGAGGUAAUUAGUUACUUCUCAGCUGUGGUGUAAUUUAAUUGCUCAUUGAGAGAGAUUCUUAGGUGAAUUAAGUCGUAGAAGCUUAAUAAACCCUGUUGGGAGCAGAUAUGUAUAUAUGAUGGUACUUAUUAAUGAUUGUUGGCAGAAGAGGAAUUGUGAGCUGCUGCCUUGAUGCAAGUUCUGGGCGCCCGAAAUUGAAAAGGAAUUGAGGAGUUGGCAGCUUGCUGCCUGAUUGUGAUGGGAGGAGCAUCCGAAUUGAGGGGCCAGUAGUUGAAUCAUUGAAAUCUGAGGUAAAAGAAAACUUAAUUACUGCUGGAAUUAAUACUUGAAGUUAUACAAGAACUACAUAGAUGUAUGUAUGUAUGUACAUGUAGGUGUAUAUGUGCAGAAUGGUAAGGAGUGAAACCUGGAAUAAGUCAAUCUUAAUUCCUGAAUUGGUAUAAUGUUAAUUGCUGUAAGGAAAUGUUAAGUGAGGAACCUUGGAAGUAUUGAAGCUUCUAAGCAUCAUGAGCUUAUAGAAUCAGCUCUAUGUUAUAUACACAUGUGUGUAUAUGUAUAACUUAGAACUAAUUGUUGGAAGACAAAGUAUGAAGUAAAGUUAUUCUAAACCUGUUAAGUGUAGAGCUACUAAGAAAAUUGAUAGUAAGACUAUGUAUAUGUUGAUAUUAUAUACAUAUAAGUAAGUUGAGGUUAAAAUGCAAGUAGAGACAGAUUGGUCUCUUUCCCUAUUUUGAACUAUAUUGAUUACUCUAUAAGAAGUUUGAGAGCAAUGGAAUUGCUGAAUGGAAUUGGUACUAGUUACUGUGUAAGAAGUUAAGUUAUAUGUAAGAUAGUUAAUGUGUGAGCUAUGAAUUAAAUUGAAGUAGAACCUGUAGCAGAAUUGUAAUGUUAACUAUUAAGAUUGAUGUUACUACUUAAAGAGAGUUAAGUAUGAGUUAUUUUAACUUCUGAAAUCUUAAUCUGCCAUAGAGAAUUUAAUAAAAGAGUAUAUGUAUAGAGGUAUUAACACUAUACCUAUAUAUAUAUAUAUAUAUAUAUAUAUAUGCAAGUUAAAGUCGAAAUGCAAAGUUGUAGAAGAUGUGAAUGUAACUUCGGUUUAAUCUCUUUUAUUCCUUUCUAAAUGAAGGUCAGACGUGCUCGGAAGUUCGAAUUGAUAUUCCGACGGACCUACGAUGCGUGAAUUAAGAAAUGCUUCGUUCUAGCCCUAUUCGCAUCGAGUCGCAUAGACUAAUGUUUGUACGGUUCGUGACGUUGGUUCUAGUCUUUGACAUCACUACAGGUGGGUGGUGCUAUCCGAAGUCUUUGAAUCACCUUUUAUGUCUAUGGUUUUCCAUUGAGCAUAUUACUUGUAUUCAUGCAUCAUAGGGUAGUGAUAUUAUGCAAGUGAUAUUUGAAUAUGUGAAUGCUUAUCAAUGUUGAGAAAAUGUGAACUUAGAAUGUGGACAUGGAACCCUAUGAAUGUAUGGACUAUAGCAAUAGUAAACUUGGGGACAUUCAACUAGAGAUUUGGUUAGCAUCAAGAAAUGGAAUUGUGAAACUAGUAUAAAGAACUAGUUAGAGUAAAGUGUGACAGUGUUUGUCAGUUGAAUCCUCUAAAGGGGGAUCAGAUCAUACUCACAUUUGUUUGGUUCAAGUGAGGUCGCUCCUCCUUGAACGAUGAGCUCCGGAGUAGUCAUCUUUACUGGACCAGGAGGUGCGUCUCCCCCAGUUGACGGUCCCGUCGGGUGCAGGUUGCGUCUACCCGAUAUUUGGGAUAGCGUCAGUGAGUUAUUGUUAACCAAAGGGUUAACCAAAAGAAUUGGGUAAUUUCAGUGAGAGCAUGCAUGCAUAUUUACAGUUUUCAUAUACUACUUCUUUCAGCUUUGCACAGGCAUUGUAGUAGUUACAUGUUAUAGCUGGUUACUAUCUGUUUACUUUUCUUGCCUACAUAUGCCUGAAUAGACCUAGUGGGUGAGUCGGCGAGGUCGGCGGCCGAACCCACUGGGAACUUUUAGUAGUUCUCACACCACUAACCAUACAGGUUCCAGCGCGAGCGGUAUGGCCGAGGAUCGCGGCAAGAGCUCAGCAGCUUAGCUAGUGGACACCCGUGUGCUAGUAGCAUACCAUUUUGAGUUCAUGUGAGAUAUUUUGAUGUACAGAGACAUGUAAAUGAAUGUAUUAAAGAGCAUGUAUAUAACUAAAUGUUUCAGUUAUUCAGUUCAGUUUAAAAGUUUUAAAUGAUAGUGCAUUUCAUUUAUAGUUAGUUACUUUCACUUGUGCUUGUAGCUUGCCCUCGUGCAAACCAUGUAUAUUGAAAUGUCAUCCUGAAAAUUGUUUAUUUCUUUAUACAUGUACUCGUUGUUGUUGAGCCUUGGGCGGACAGAGGAGGUUCUGUCCGUUCGGCGUCUGUGUACGGGCCCGGAUCGACCAAAUUGGCGAUAGCGGGAUGUGACAGAUAAAGUGGUAUCAGAGCAACGCAAGUGAAAUUAUAGGAUGGACCUAGGGACCUUAGGAUGGAAAACCAUAAGGAUCUAGCUUCGUGAGAGACGAGAAUUUUGGUAAAUGGCGAAAGGUUAAACCGAUUGGGUUAUGUGUUGUAUACCUCUAUAAAGGAUCUUAGAGGUAGAUUUAAGGAAUAGUGUAUUCUCAACAGGGAGUGUUCAUGUUGGGUGCACACAAUAUGAAACCGAGUGAUGAGAAUAGGCUUCCUUGUAUGACUUUCGCCUGAUUUGAGUCGUGUUGACGAUAGUUGUUUCGUGUUUGACCUUGAAGGUCAAGAAUCGGUCACGUUGUUACGCGUUUAGUGGUCUCGUGUAGUUGAUCUCUAAUGAGAUCGAUAUGGUUCGGGAUAAGUGGAAUCCUUGAAUUGACCGAACUUGAUGGAAACUUGAAACUUUGGGGUCUGUUAGUCACACCGUGGUAGGGUUGUGACGAUGAAAAGUCGUAGUGCAAUGUCAGCGAGAGGCUGUUGUAUAUUUGGUGGAUUGAGUCAAUGGACUCCAGAGGACGGUGGAGUAGUUGGAUAACCCUUGUGGCCUUCAGGAAAGUAUAGUCCAUCUGUUGUGGAUGAAGAAAUAUUUGUGCGUCGAGAAUCUAUGAUUUGGAGUCAGGGAAAUCUUCCAUGGAAGGAUUUGUGUAUCGAUGACAGGAUACAGAGUUGUUGUUGGAAUUAACGACAAGUGAGCUUCAAGAUAAGUCGUGGGGGCUAUAGCAGGGUGCCUGCUCGGUGAAAAGUACGUAGAAAGAUUUUCUGCAUGCUAUGUUGUGAUUAGUGCACAGUGUGAGGUAUUAGAGACAAGGCCGGUUAUAAUAUGUGGAGACUUCGAUAGAAGGAUUGUUGGAGUUGUAUACUCUCCUAGUUCACAAAUUUCUGAUGAAGUGUUGGAUUGAAUCUUGUGGUUGAAGUUAGGUGGUAUCUCGUGCAGAAGGGGCGCAAAUGAAUUAGUGAAGAUGGGGGAUGAGCGACUGAUGUAUGGUUCGGGUGGUCAAUCGAGUGUUAAGCGACACCUGGAAGAGAGUUGCAGUCGUCAUCCUAGAAUUCAGAAAGGUCUAAUGACUGGCCUUUUUAUUUGAGAGGACUGGUUAU
Molecule: long non-coding RNA, 7638 nt
Filed under: Ananas comosus (pineapple)
Lineage: Eukaryota; Viridiplantae; Streptophyta; Magnoliopsida; Poales; Bromeliaceae
Description: long non-coding RNA (ACOM_LNC036243)
Source: RNAcentral